RNAcentral lists this ribosomal RNA (1220 nucleotides) under Curtobacterium sp. YR515. RNAcentral describes it as "bacterial LSU rRNA". It matches the Rfam family "Bacterial large subunit ribosomal RNA", at positions 292 to 1493 of the family's 2925-position model. The record is from RNAcentral. Lineage: Bacteria; Bacillati; Actinomycetota; Actinomycetes; Micrococcales; Microbacteriaceae.
CUGCCGGACUGGGGCGGUUACAGCGCAUCAUAGUCGAACCGGUUUGAAAGCCGGGCCGUAGUGGGUGCCAGCCCCGUAGACGAAAUGGUGUUAUGGCCGGAUGUGUAUCCCAAGUAGCACGGGGCCCGAGAAAUCCCGUGUGAAUCUGUCAGGACCACCUGAUAAGCCUAAAUACUCCCAGAUGACCGAUAGCGGACAAGUACCGUGAGGGAAAGGUGAAAAGUACCCCGGGAGGGGAGUGAAAUAGUACCUGAAACCGUUUGCUUACAAACCGUCGGAGCCUCCUUGUAGGGGUGACGGCGUGCCUUUUGAAGAAUGAGCCUGCGAGUUAGUGAUAUGUGGCGAGGUUAACCCGUGUGGGGCAGCCGUAGCGAAAGCGAGUCUGAAUAGGGCGAUUCAGUCGCAUGUCCUAGACCCGAAGCGAAGUGAUCUAUCCAUGGCCAGGUUGAAGCGACGGUAAGACGUCGUGGAGGACCGAACCCACUUCAGUUGAAAAUGGAGGGGAUGAGCUGUGGAUAGGGGUGAAAGGCCAAUCAAACUUCGUGAUAGCUGGUUCUCUCCGAAAUGCAUUUAGGUGCAGCGUUGCGUGUUUCUCGCCGGAGGUAGAGCUACUGGAUGGCCGAUGGGCCUCAACAGGUUACUGACGUCAGCCAAACUCCGAAUGCCGGUGAGUGAGAGCGCAGCAGUGAGACGGUGGGGGAUAAGCUUCAUCGUCGAGAGGGAAACAACCCAGACUACCAACUAAGGCCCCUAAGCGUGUGCUAAGUGGGAAAGGAUGUGGAGUUGCAUAGACAACCAGGAGGUUGGCUUAGAAGCAGCCACCCUUGAAAGAGUGCGUAAUAGCUCACUGGUCAAGUGAUUCCGCGCCGACAAUGUAACGGGGCUCAAGCACACCGCCGAAGUUGUAGAUUUCGCACACUCGAUAAGCCUUCGUGGUUCAGUCGUGCGGAGUGGUAGGAGAGCGUCGUGUGGCGAGUGAAGCGGCGGAGUGAUCCAGCCGUGGACGCUACACGAGUGAGAAUGCAGGCAUGAGUAGCGAAAGACGGGUGAGAAACCCGUCCUCCGAAAGACCAAGGGUUCCAGGGCCAGGUUAAUCCGCCCUGGGUAAGUCGGGACCUAAGGCGAGGCCGACAGGCGUAGUCGAUGGACAACGGGUUGAUAUUCCCGUACCGGCGAACAACCGCCCAAGCUAAUCCAGUGGUGCUAAGAGUCCUAACCCG